UACAGAGGGUGCAAGCGUUAAUCGGAUUUACUGGGCGUAAAGCGUGUGUAGGUGGCUUCGUAAGUCGGUUGUGAAAUCCCUGGGCUUAACCUGGGAAUUGCAUUCGAUACUGCAAAGCUCGAGUUCGGUAGAGGACGGCGGAAUUCCCGGUGUAGCGGUGAAAUGCGUAGAUAUCGGGAGGAACAUCGAUGGCGAAGGCAACCGUCUGGGCCUGAACUGACACUGUGACACGAAAGCGUGGGUAGCAAACAGG
RNAcentral lists this ribosomal RNA (253 nucleotides) under uncultured bacterium. RNAcentral's name for it is "partial 16S ribosomal RNA". It matches the Rfam family "Bacterial small subunit ribosomal RNA", at positions 524 to 776 of the family's 1533-position model. The record is from RNAcentral.